Molecule: non-coding RNA, 119 nt
Organism: Picea glauca (white spruce)
Lineage: Eukaryota; Viridiplantae; Streptophyta; Pinopsida; Pinales; Pinaceae
Source: Rfam
GGGCGCGAUCAUACCAAUGUUAAUGCACCGGAUCCCAUCAGAACUCCAUAGUUAGAGCUUGGGCGAGAGUAGUACUUUGCCCAGUGAUGCCCGUUGAAGAGGGGGAGGGGGCGUGAUCC